Nematolebias whitei (Rio pearlfish) is the source of this 347-nucleotide long non-coding RNA. RefSeq lists it as uncharacterized. The transcript is spliced from 3 exons. The record is from RefSeq and is a predicted model, not a curated record. NCBI's taxonomy places the organism in Eukaryota, Metazoa, Chordata, Actinopteri, Cyprinodontiformes, Rivulidae.
UGAUUUCCUGAACAAACACAGAGGAGGAGACAUGAAAGUGAAAGCGUUUCACUUCCUUCUGACUCCAUUUUGUGUGACAGCAGAAGAACGAGGACUGAAAGCUGAACGAGGUGAAGGUAGAAAGUGUGUGUAAGCUGAUGUGAAUUCAGCAGCAUGGAUCAGCGUGAGGACGGAGAGGAGGGAGUCCCUCCCUCUAAAACCACUCUGUGUGGGGAACAUGAGAGCCAGAGCAAAGAUCAGAGGAACACACCUGGACCUGGACCUGGACCUGGACCCAGCUGUGUGUCCUUUAAGAGCAACAUGUCAAAGGAUUUUGUUAUUGACUUCAAACAAAGAGUUUCCUCCAA